RNAcentral lists this ribosomal RNA (253 nucleotides) under uncultured bacterium. RNAcentral describes it as "partial 16S ribosomal RNA". It matches the Rfam family "Bacterial small subunit ribosomal RNA", at positions 524 to 776 of the family's 1533-position model. The record is from RNAcentral.
UACGGAGGGUGCGAGCGUUGUCCGGAAUCAUUGGGCGUAAAGCGCGCGUAGGCGGCCCGGUAAGUCCGCUGUAAAAGUCCAGGGCUCAACCCUGGAAAGCCGGUGGAUACUGUCGGGCUCGAGUCCGGAAGAGGCGAGUGGAAUUCCUGGUGUAGCGGUGGAAUGCGCAGAUAUCAGGAGGAACACCGAUGGCGAAGGCAGCUCGCUGGGACGGUACUGACGCUGAGGCGCGAAAGCGUGGGGAGCGAACAGG